Transfer RNA from Clunio marinus, 72 nucleotides. It matches the Rfam family "tRNA". From Rfam's summary of the family: Transfer RNA (tRNA) molecules are approximately 80 nucleotides in length. Their secondary structure includes four short double-helical elements and three loops (D, anti-codon, and T loops). Further hydrogen bonds mediate the characteristic L-shaped molecular structure. tRNAs have two regions of fundamental functional importance: the anti-codon, which is responsible for specific mRNA codon recognition, and the 3' end, to which the tRNAs corresponding amino acid is attached (by aminoacyl-tRNA synthetases). tRNAs cope with the degeneracy of the genetic code in two manners: having more than one tRNA (with a specific anti-codon) for a particular amino acid; and 'wobble' base-pairing, i.e. permitting non-standard base-pairing at the 3rd anti-codon position. Lineage: Eukaryota; Metazoa; Arthropoda; Insecta; Diptera; Chironomidae. The record is from Rfam.
GCGUCUAUGGUGUAAGGGUUAGCAUAGUUGCCUUCCAAGCAGUUGAUCCGAGUUCGAAUCUCGGUAGACGCA